GACACGAAAGGUCUCCUCAUCCCGCGAGUGGAUCGGCCUCCACCCUAGACCGAGGAGAGAAUGGCUCUGCCUGGACCGACCCCCGCGCCGGGCGGACCCGAUCUUCGGCCUAAAGCGUCCACCUGUCUGGAAGCCGCCGCCACCAAGCUUUUAUUAAUAUAUCCGUUCCCGCCGGGUUGGCUAUACAGAUGCGAAUCAACUCCGGGGGUGGGGUGAGGAGGAAGGCCGCGGAGCGGCGAUUGCUUCCUGGACGAGUUGCGUAGGGCGGGACAAAGUCUUGCCCUGAGCUCUGAUUGGUCACCGCGAGACUGCCUACCUAAGCUCUUCCAGGGUACCGAGGUUUUCCGGAAUCACUAAGAGGCUACAGGCCGGGUCCUUCGGCUCCGCGUUCCUAUUGGCUGCUGUUUCGGCGCAAGCGCUUUGGCUCCUGGGUUGGCGUUCAGGGUUGCCGAGGCAGGGCUUUGGCUACUGGAGAUCGUAGGUUCGAAUCCCGUCUGGGAAGUUCAACUUGUGCACCUGUAAAAGAAGCUGGCAUUAUUGGCUUGUACUCAAGGGCUGGCACAGAGUGUGUCGGGGUGCGGACGCCCCAGCCACGCCCAUCAUCCGUGCGGAAGAUGCAGAGGUCAUAUCGGAUACCCUUCUGUACCACACGAUUUGGGCAGUCAUAGCCGCAGCGGCAGCGGGAGUUGCACUCGUAGAUGGGCAGCCCGGCUCGAAGCCGCACCUGGCCCUGGUCAUUGUAGGCAAACUUGUGCAGUGACGCCCCCGGGCAGCAGCCUCCAGUGGGUGCCCACAGACAGUCCUGGCACUCGCAGCCCACAGCCACCUGGUUGAGGGUGAUGCCCUCACCAACACGGUACUCAUUGAUGUACACGAAGGCCCGCGGAGGGCCGUCCAGGUCCACCUCAUUCUCUACAGUGAUGCGUCCCAGAUGGCUGCGCUUGGCAUUGAGCUCCUGCUCCCAGCGACGGAGCGCCCGCCUCUGCUUGGCCUUCUGCACCAGGUAGUUGGCCAAGCUUGGGUCCAGGUGCCGGGGGGUCUUUGACCGGUGGUGCCGCCGGAGCAGCUCCCUUUCUAAGUCCUUGUGGAACUGCUUGAGGAUACGCACACACUUGAGAUUCUGCCGUGGCUCCCAGGUGCUCUCUGAGUCUGGAUAUCCACGCCAUUUCACCAGGUACUCGACUUCAAAGUCAUAGAGGUUCCUCUUAGAGAUACCGAGGGCAGGGCAGGAGAGCUUGGCCAGGCGGCACAGGUCCUGCAGCUGAUUCCAAGAAGACUUGCAACACACGCUGCAGCCUGGAUCAAGCGGGGCAGAAAGAACUAUUACUGGGCAGCCUGACUAGGCCAGGAGUCAAAGGGGACCCCAAAUCCUCCCUGGGACAUCCCAAAGACUGACUAAGAGUCAGGGAAAUUUAAUCCACAGGCCUUCCCCAGUGCUGAGACUGUUCUACAACAGAAAUGUGCUUUGAACCCCAAUACUCACUGCCCAAAGCUGCCCCUGGAGCAGCAGACCUCUAAGCGGGGUUUGCAACAUGAAUUGUCCUAAAGGAAUCUAUUUCCAGAGCUUCAAACUCCAUGUCAUUCCUAAAACUGCCUGCAAACCUGCUUUGGGUUCAGGACCUGAUCACCCCUCUCUCCACUUUGCAAAAGAAAGAGAACAACCCCCCAUCUCAGUAGGAUGCAGUGCCCCGAGGUGGGGCGGAUGGGAGGACAAGAUUAAAACCUCCAGGGCACCAAACAAAGGCGUAACUGGAAAGACUGGUCUUUAAUCCCUUAUCUCAAACUCCUGGGCCAGAUGUGUUUUGGAAUUCAAAAUUUUUUGGAUUUUACAAGACUAGUUCUAGGAUAUCCCAUACAUCACCUAACACCCCCAGCGUGGCCAGGGGACAUCAAGCUAUAAUCAAAUGCAUUAACCGUCCUGCAGCAAAAGUAUGAAUUUCCCACAUUAAAUAGGAGAAAUAGAGAUAUAAAAUAGCCUCACAGAAGAGUUCCACUUUAUAAUCUACUUUUGCCAUAAAUGGUGCCAAAUUUAAGAAAAGGAUUUCAGUUUUCAGGGCUUUUUAGAUUUCGGAAUUAUGAGCAAGAGAUUGUGGAAUGAUACUACAUUACAGGAAGGCUCCUUAAAUGAUCAAUCUGGGUGCCUUAAAUCCACAAGGUAUAUUUUUUCACACUGCAUUUUGACUUUCUGUCUCAUCCAUCUUUCUGUGAAGAGUAAAGCUCAUCCAAAGGGUUAUGCUCUGAAUUUAUACGCAAAGCGGUACAGAUUAGUGACACUGAUUCUUUUAAAUAUACCUGGUAUAUUUCUGGGACUGCCAAAAUUUUGUAAGACACACGGAUUUUAAAAAACAGAUUUCUUUCUGAUUCAAGGCACAUUCUUAAUCAAAGUACUUUAGAAGCCAUUUUAUCAAAUCAUGUCUCAAAACAUUCCAAGGGCAGUCAGUCCUCAUCCUAUAUCAUCUUUUUAAAAUGUUUAAUAUUUUCUGCCUCCCAUUGCAAAAAUCACACCUAAACUUUAGAUGUCAACCUAAAAACGUACAAGAGCUUUUCAAAAUUAUUUCGUGUGCAAGCCCUACCCCCCCUACUUAGGCAAGACCAAGUGGAGACUGAGCCCGCCUGUGCCCACGCUUUCCUCUCCCUACAGCCUGUCCUCGCAAACCCCUUCCUUCACUUGCAUUUGAAACCCCACUUAAGUGGUCCCAAUUAACACCCUCCAGCUGCUGGCUCCGGAACUGGCCACAGGUGGACUCUCCUGAACCCCUCAGAGGUCCUCCCACUUGUGGAACCCAUCCUCCCUGCGGCUUUCGUCACAUAGAGGGGCCCCCCAACAUAACUGAGUCACCCCUCUUUCCCUGCACAUGGGGGAGUCCAGCUGUCCUAUUAGGAAGGCCCCAUUUCUCUCUUCUGGGAGAUCCUCUAUUCCAAACCCUUCCCCCAUCACGCCGAGAGGCGAUACUUUCCCCCAGAAGAGUUCUCAGUCCCCGCACUCUGAAGGGGGGGUCUGUCCCCCUUAUCUUCCCUCCCCUUCCGGCGUCUCGCGUGGACACCGAAUGGGUAACGGUCACCAGGGGCCGAUUUUCCCGCGCGCGGGCGCGGCCUCCUCGACAAGCCCCCGCGCGUGCGCGCGCCGGUCCGGCCGCGAUCUGCAGCGCGCGCCCCCCUCCUGCGUCCCCACUUAGCCCCAGGCCCGCUGCGUUCCGAGGCGCGCGCCCCCUCCCCUGAGCCCCGCCCAGCCCCGCGCACCAGGCCCGCGCUCCCCGAGCCUCAUCCUUUCCGCGCCGAGCUUCCGGCUCCCGGCGCCGGGGCCUCGGACGCCGGGGCCCCGAGCCGGCAACGCCACCCCUCCAGCCCACCCGGCCCGGCCAGCGGGCCCGCGCCUCUGCCUCCACUGCUUCACCUUUUAAAUUUUCCGCCAUCUUUCCCCACGGCUAACGACAUUCGGGCCUA
RNAcentral lists this long non-coding RNA (3444 nucleotides) under Homo sapiens (human). RNAcentral's name for it is "non-protein coding lnc-PCSK1N-1:2". The record is from RNAcentral. Lineage: Eukaryota; Metazoa; Chordata; Mammalia; Primates; Hominidae.